Molecule: ribosomal RNA, 469 nt
Filed under: uncultured bacterium
Lineage: Bacteria
Description: partial 16S ribosomal RNA
Rfam family: Bacterial small subunit ribosomal RNA
Source: RNAcentral
GAUGAACGCUGGCGGCGUGCUUAACACAUGCAAGUCGAACGGUGAACCCGGAGCUUGCUCUGUGGGAUCAGUGGCGAACGGGUGAGUAACACGUGAGCAACCUGCCCCUGACUCUGGGAUAAGCGCUGGAAACGGCGGCUAAUACUGGAUAUGUGACGUGACCGCAUGGUCUGCGUUGGGAAAGAUUGUGCGGUUGGGGAUGGGCUCGCGGCCUAUCAGCUUGUUGGUGGGGUAAUGGCUCACCAAGGCGUCGACGGGUAGCCGGCCUGAGAGGGUGACCGGCCACAUUGGGACUGAGAUACGGCCCAGACUCCUACGGGAGGCAGCAGUGGGGAAUAUUGCACAAUGGGCGGAAGCCUGAUGCAGCAACGCCGCGUGCGGGAUGACGGCCUUCGGGUUGUAAACCUCUUUCGCCUGGGACGAAGCGAGAGUGACGGUACCUGGUGAAAAAGCGCCGGCUAACUACGUG